This 560-nucleotide long non-coding RNA is filed under the name Phaseolus vulgaris (common bean). RNAcentral describes it as "long non-coding RNA (PVUL_LNC003167)". The record is from RNAcentral. Lineage: Eukaryota; Viridiplantae; Streptophyta; Magnoliopsida; Fabales; Fabaceae.
AAAAGUGCCUAAUUUUGAAUUUCAUAAAGAUUGUUAGGUUAAUUCUUAUCAAUUUAAAAACUACAGAUUUCCACCUCAAACCCCUACACUCUUUCCAUUCAUACACAUAUAUGACUAGCUACAAUUCCUAAAAUUCAUAUAAAAAAACAAAAUCAAUCAAUCACCGCAUUCAAACCAGUAGAGGAAUUAACAUCAAAUCGAAAUGAAUCCGAACCACUUCAAGUCGAACUGAAUCCGAAUCACUUCAAGUCGAACUGAAUCCGGUGCAAAGCAAAUUCUAAUUCAAAGGUUGUGAAUGGAGAUUUUGAAGAAAUCGAUUAUGAACUAGAGCAAACAGUGAGACAGAAAAAUCGAACGUUGUGAAGGAGUGUUUGAAGAAACGAACCUGAGCAAGGGCUUAUCAUACGGAGGAAGCUGUGAAAAAUCGUUGGCCGCAAAUGGAGUUUGAGCGUGGUGGAGCGUGAGAGUGCAUUUGGAAUCGAGGGUUGAGUUCUGUGUAGCUUGGGGAAGUUAGUAGAAUGUGUGAGUAUAGUCUGUUAUUUGAAAUAUCCAUGUUUAAA